Molecule: small RNA, 100 nt
Filed under: Pan troglodytes (chimpanzee)
Lineage: Eukaryota; Metazoa; Chordata; Mammalia; Primates; Hominidae
Also listed under: 1 other name
Description: processed transcript
Source: RNAcentral
UGGCUGUGGAGAUGAAAUGAGGCAACAUUGGUAAUGGAAUAGCACAAGGAUGAAGUGUCCUCUUGCUAGCACCAAUAAAAGAUUUCUAAUUAACACAAUU